CACCACGGUAACUUGUAAGUAACUCACUGUACUUUAGUACCAGACCAUCUGAGUUUCUAACUCAGUGUCGGAUAGCUACUGAGUGCAGUCAAGUGCUUAUCAAGUCGGUGUGUGAGUCAAGAUGGAAUUGACCCCUCUGAAUUAGUAAGAGAUAUGCAUCAGUAUAUUUUAAUUCAGUAAAAUCUUGACCAGGAUAAUCUCUGAGA
RNAcentral lists this long non-coding RNA (206 nucleotides) under Elaeis guineensis (African oil palm). RNAcentral describes it as "long non-coding RNA (EGUI_LNC058901)". Lineage: Eukaryota; Viridiplantae; Streptophyta; Magnoliopsida; Arecales; Arecaceae. The record is from RNAcentral.